UUCCUUGACACCGCAUGGUUCAAGGAUGAAAGACGGUUUCGGCUGUCACUUACAGAUGGACCCGCGGCGCAUUAGCUAGUUGGUGGGUGUAAUGGCUCACCAAGGCGACGAUGCUGUAGCCGACCUGAGAGGGUGAUCGGCCACACUGGGACUGAGACACGGCCCAGACUCCUACGGGAGGCAGCAGUAGGGAAUCUUCCGCAAUGGACGAAAGUCUGACGGAGCAACGCCGCGUGACGUGAUGAAGGUUUUCGGAUCGUAAAGCUCUGUUGUUAGGGAAGAACAAGUGCGAGAGUAACUGCUCGCACCUUGACGGUACCUAACCAGAAAGCGCACGGCUAACUACGUGCCAGCAGCCGCGGUAAUACGUAGGUGGCAAGCGUUGUCCGGAAUUAUUGGGCGUAAAGGGCUCGCAGGCGGUUUCUUAAGUCUGAUGUGAAAGCCCCCGGCUCAACCGGGGAGGGUCAUUGGAAACUGGGAAACUUGAGUGCAGAAGAGGAGAGUGGAAUUCCACGUGUAGCGGUGAAAUGCGUAGAGAUGUGGAGGAACACCAGUGGCGAAAGGCGACUCUCUGGUCUGUAACUGACGCU
Molecule: ribosomal RNA, 590 nt
Filed under: Bacillus pumilus
Lineage: Bacteria; Bacillati; Bacillota; Bacilli; Caryophanales; Bacillaceae
Description: bacterial SSU rRNA
Rfam family: Bacterial small subunit ribosomal RNA
Source: RNAcentral